This 463-nucleotide long non-coding RNA is filed under the name Androctonus crassicauda. The record is from RNAcentral. Lineage: Eukaryota; Metazoa; Arthropoda; Arachnida; Scorpiones; Buthidae.
GCAUUGAAUACCACAUGACUACUAUUUUUUUAUUUUAUAUAUAUUAUAUAUAGCUUUUCUUCUUAUUGGAUACUAAAUGACUAUUCAUCCUAAUAUACACUACAUGCUUGCCCAUAUUUCUGAUGAUAAUCAUAAUCAGAUUCAGGAUGGGGUUGAAUGGGCCAAGGUUUGGACAUCUAAAGAAAUCUGUAGGUAUGAGACCUGGAUUUAAAUAUGAAGAUAGAAAUACAGCAUGCUUUCAUUCUGACAUCUACUGGGACAUCCAGUCAAUUGGCUCCCAUUAUUGCAAAAUUAAUGAUGGUAGCGGUUGUAAGUGCAGAUUUUUUAUUGUAAAUAGUUACCAUUUUGAUUACAGAUUAUCUUAAUUAAGGUCAUCAUAAGUCUGGGUUUCCCUGUAUCUGUACUUGUUAUUAAAGUUGUAGAAAUAUAUAUUGUAUUAAAAAUUUAUUUAGAUAAUGUUAGC